This 234-nucleotide ribosomal RNA is filed under the name uncultured bacterium. RNAcentral's name for it is "partial 16S ribosomal RNA". It matches the Rfam family "Bacterial small subunit ribosomal RNA", at positions 96 to 334 of the family's 1533-position model. The record is from RNAcentral.
UGGCGGACGGGUGAGUAAUGUCUGGGAAACUGCCUGAUGGAGGGGGAUAACUACUGGAAACGGUAGCUAAUACCGCAUAACGUCGCAAGACCAAAGAGGGGGACCUUCGGGCCUCUUGCCAUCGGAUGUGCCCAGAUGGGAUUAGCUGUAGGUGGGGUAACGGCUCACCUAGGCGACGAUCCCUAGCUGGUCUGAGAGGAUGACCAGCCACACUGGAACUGAGACACGGUCCAG